This is a non-coding RNA of Anoplophora glabripennis (Asian longhorned beetle), 75 nucleotides long. NCBI's taxonomy places the organism in Eukaryota, Metazoa, Arthropoda, Insecta, Coleoptera, Cerambycidae. The record is from the annotation of a RefSeq genome assembly.
GGCUCGUUAGCUCAGUUGGUCAGAGCGCCACACAAGUAUUGAUGGAGGUCGCAGGUUCGAUCCCUGCACGAGCCC